GCUAUUGGAGUUCGAUUAAGCCAUGCGAGUCGAGAGUCCUCGGGACUCGGCGUACCGCUCAGUAACACGUGGGUAACCUGCCCUAUGCUGGGGAAUAACCUCGGGAAACUGAGAAUAAUGCCCCAUAGCCCACUACGCCUGGAACGGUGAGUGGGUCAAAGCUCCGGCGGCAUAGGAUGGGCCUGCGCCGUAUCAGGUUGUAGGGGGUGUAAAGUACCCUCUAGCCAUCAACGCGUACGGGUGUUGGGAGACAUUGCCCGGAGAUGGAUUCUGAGACACGAAUCCAGACCCUACGGGGUGCAGCAGGCGCGAAAACUUGGCAAUGCGAGCAAUCGUGACCAGGGAACUCCAAGUGCGUAGGGUAAGACCUACGCUUUUCUUGACUCUUCAAAGGUCUUGGAAUAAGGGGAGGGUAAGGACGGUGCCAGCCGCCGCGGUAAUACCGGCGCCUCAAGUGGUAGUCGCUUUUAUUGGGCCUAAAACGUCCGUAGCCGGUCUGGUGCAUUCGUGGGUAAAUCAACCCGCUCAACGGGUUGAAUUCUGCGAGCACGGCCAGACUUGGGACCGGGAGAGGUGUGGGGUACUCUCAGGGUAGGGGUAAAAUCCUGUCAUCCUGAGAGGACCACCUGUUGCGAAGGCGCCACACUAGAACGGAUCCGACGGUCAGGGACGAAACCUAGGGGCACGAACCGGAUUAGAUACCCGGGUAGUCCUAGGUGUAAACGCUGUGGACUUGAUGUUGGGGGCGCUCCGAGCGCUCUCAGUGUCGAAGCGAAGGUGAUAAGUCCACUGCCUGGGGAGUACGGUCGCAAGGCUGAAACUUAAAGGAAUUGGCGGGGGAGCACUGC
RNAcentral lists this ribosomal RNA (848 nucleotides) under uncultured archaeon. Its description in RNAcentral is "bacterial SSU rRNA". It matches the Rfam family "Archaeal small subunit ribosomal RNA", at positions 29 to 882 of the family's 1478-position model. The record is from RNAcentral.